Molecule: ribosomal RNA, 1080 nt
Filed under: Betaproteobacteria bacterium
Lineage: Bacteria; Pseudomonadati; Pseudomonadota; Betaproteobacteria
Description: partial 23S ribosomal RNA
Rfam family: Bacterial large subunit ribosomal RNA
Source: RNAcentral
GCGAAAGCGAGUCUGAAUAGGGCGAAUGAGUUGCAUGAUCUAGACCCGAAGCGAGGUGAUCUACGCAUGGCCAGGUUGAAGCGCGGGUAAGACCGCGUGGAGGACCGAACCCACUAAUGUUGAAAAAUUAGGGGAUGAGCUGUGUGUAGGGGUGAAAGGCCAAUCAAACUUCGUGAUAGCUGGUUCUCUCCGAAAUGCAUUUAGGUGCAGCGUCACGUGUUUCUUACUGGAGGUAGAGCUACUGGAUGGCCGAGGGGUCCUACAAGAUUACCAACGUCAGCCAAACUCCGAAUGCCAGUAAGUGAGAACGUGGCAGUGAGACAGUGGGGGAUAAGCUUCAUUGUCGAGAGGGAAACAACCCAGAACAGCAACUAAGGUCCCAAAGCCUGUGCUAAGUGGAAAAGGAUGUGAAGUCGCAUAGACAACCAGGAGGUUGGCUUAGAAGCAGCCACCCUUAAAAGAGUGCGUAAUAGCUCACUGGUCAAGUGAUUUCGCGCCGACAAUGUAACGGGGCUCAAGCACAGCACCGAAGUUCUGUCAUUCACACACUAUCCCGGUCGCAAGAUCCAGGAGUGUGGAUGGGUAGGAGAGCGUUGUGUAACUAGUGAAGCGGCGGAGGAAUCCAGCCGUGGAAGUUACACAAGUGAGAAUGUAGACAUGAGUAGCGAAAGACGGGUGAGAAACCCGUCCACCGAAUGACCAAGGGUUCCUGAGCCAGGCUAAUCCGCUCAGGGUAAGUCGGGUCCUAAGGCGAGGCCGACAGGCGUAGUCGAUGGACAACUGGUUGAUAUUCCAGUACCCGCUAAGAGCGCCCAGAACGAGCCUGCUAAUGCUAAGUGCCUGAAGUUUCCUUGGGGUAAAACCUAAAGGGGAUGGAGCGCGCGACCCAAGGCAGUAGUAGUUCAGCAAUGGUGUGACACAGGAAGGUAGUUCAGCCCAGGCGAUGGUUGACCUGGGGUAAGAGUGUAGGAAGUGGUGUAGGUAAAUCCGCACCACAUAUUUCUGAGACUUGAUGCCGAGCCGUAUGGCGAAGUGAAUGAUCCUAUGCUGUCAAGAAAAACAUCUAGCGAGCUCAACAGC